GGGAGAACCACAGAGGCUUGCAUCACAAAGGUCAAUUCAAUAGAGAGCACACAGUUCUGAAGAGCUGAGUCCCACCCAGAGUGAAGGUAUGAGCCAUCCCGGAAGACUUCCCAGAGGAGGAACCACAAGUGUGAUGCGCAGGUUCCUUUUAGAACAUGACACCAUGGAAAGAGCAACAAUCUCUGGCCUCGACAUUCCCGCUUUUCCUGUUGCCCAACCAGGGACUGAACCCACAGCCUUGGCAAUGAAAGCCUAACCCCGGACUGCCAGAAAAUUGCUUUACAGAAUCUAAAAUGAAGCCAGGGCACCAUUGAGAAAGUAGAACUUACACCUGUUCACUCUUGAAUGCAAAAUAAACUUUCAACCCAAUGAUCCUGAGACCGCCUG
Molecule: long non-coding RNA, 387 nt
Organism: Bos indicus x Bos taurus (hybrid cattle)
Lineage: Eukaryota; Metazoa; Chordata; Mammalia; Artiodactyla; Bovidae
Source: Ensembl